Small nucleolar RNA from Diospyros lotus (date-plum), 107 nucleotides. RefSeq annotates it as small nucleolar RNA Z247. The record is from RefSeq and is a predicted model, not a curated record. NCBI's taxonomy places the organism in Eukaryota, Viridiplantae, Streptophyta, Magnoliopsida, Ericales, Ebenaceae. The transcript has a single exon.
CCCCUAGGUGAUAAGGAUUUAAUCUUGUCUAUUUUGAAUGGUCUGGAUCAUGAAUAUGACACUGUAGUAAGCUUGAUCACUUAUCAGAUGGAUGAGAUCAAUCUAGA